This 507-nucleotide ribosomal RNA is filed under the name uncultured bacterium. RNAcentral's name for it is "partial 16S ribosomal RNA". It matches the Rfam family "Bacterial small subunit ribosomal RNA", at positions 28 to 507 of the family's 1533-position model. The record is from RNAcentral.
GACGAACGCUGGCGGCGUGCCUAAUACAUGCAAGUCGAACGCAUUUUCUUUCACCGUAGCUUGCUACACCGAAAGAAAAUGAGUGGCGAACGGGUGAGUAACACGUGGGUAACCUGCCCAUCAGCGGGGGAUAACACUUGGAAACAGGUGCUAAUACCGCAUAAUUCCAUUUACUGCAUGGUAGAUGGAUGAAAGGCGCUUUUGCGUCACUGAUGGAUGGACCCGCGGUGCAUUAGCUAGUUGGUGGGGUAACGGCCUACCAAGGCUGCGAUGCAUAGCCGACCUGAGAGGGUGAUCGGCCACACUGGGACUGAGACACGGCCCAGACUCCUACGGGAGGCAGCAGUAGGGAAUCUUCGGCAAUGGACGCAAGUCUGACCGAGCAACGCCGCGUGAGUGAAGAAGGUUUUCGGAUCGUAAAACUCUGCUGUUAGAAAAGAACAAGGAUGAGAGUGGAAAGUUCAUCCCUUGACGGUAUCUAACCAGAAAGCCACGGCUAACUACGUG